UUGUAUGACUCUCGGCAAUGGAUAUCUUGGCUCUUGCAUCGAUGAAGAGCGCAGCGAAAUGCGAUACGUGGUGUGAAUUGCAGAAUCCCGUGAACCAUCAAAUUUUUGAACGCAAGUUGCGCCCAAGGCCAAUUGGUUGAGGGCACGUCCGCCU
Molecule: ribosomal RNA, 154 nt
Filed under: Zeuxine strateumatica
Lineage: Eukaryota; Viridiplantae; Streptophyta; Magnoliopsida; Asparagales; Orchidaceae
Description: 5.8S ribosomal RNA
Rfam family: 5.8S ribosomal RNA
About the family: 5.8S ribosomal RNA (5.8S rRNA) is a component of the large subunit of the eukaryotic ribosome. It is transcribed by RNA polymerase I as part of the 45S precursor that also contains 18S and 28S rRNA. Functionally, it is thought that 5.8S rRNA may be involved in ribosome translocation.
Source: RNAcentral